UCAGUGCUCUCGCUGAUCUGAAGGA
This 25-nucleotide small nuclear RNA is filed under the name Arabidopsis thaliana (thale cress). RNAcentral describes it as "snRNA_02337". The record is from RNAcentral. Lineage: Eukaryota; Viridiplantae; Streptophyta; Magnoliopsida; Brassicales; Brassicaceae.